UACGUAGGGGGCAAGCGUUGUCCGGAAUUAUUGGGCGUAAAGAGCUCGUAGGCGGCUUGUUGCGUCGACCGUGAAAACCCGUGGCUUAACUGCGGGCUUGCGGUCGAUACGGGCGGGCUGGAGUUCGGUAGGGGAGACUGGAAUUCCUGGUGUAGCGGUGAAAUGCGCAGAUAUCAGGAGGAACACCGGUGGCGAAGGCGGGUCUCUGGACAGUUCCUGACGCUGAGGCACGAAGGCCAGGGGAGCAAACGGG
RNAcentral lists this ribosomal RNA (253 nucleotides) under uncultured bacterium. RNAcentral describes it as "partial 16S ribosomal RNA". It matches the Rfam family "Bacterial small subunit ribosomal RNA", at positions 524 to 776 of the family's 1533-position model. The record is from RNAcentral.